Molecule: transfer RNA, 76 nt
Filed under: Planctomycetota bacterium
Lineage: Bacteria; Pseudomonadati; Planctomycetota
Description: tRNA-Ala
Rfam family: tRNA
About the family: Transfer RNA (tRNA) molecules are approximately 80 nucleotides in length.
Source: RNAcentral
GGGGCAUUAGCUCAUCUGGGAGAGCGCCGCCUUUGCAAGGCGGAGGUGAUCGGUUCGAGCCCGAUAUGCUCCACCA